UUAGUAUCAGAAUAAAAUAUACUAUUUAAAAUAUAAGAAAAACAAGCAUUUAAAAUAAAUUAAAAAAUUGUGUUAUUGAUAAUACGGUGAGCAAAGGAGUCAUGAUUCAAAUUGUCAUAUAUAUGAUUAAAGUCUUUAGAUAUGACUUUGGAUAAUAUAUGGUUACAUAUAAUCUAAUCACGGCAUCUAAACCUUCUAAAGCAACCACGACUGUAUGAGUUAGACUCUUCACGCGGAGACUUGGGGUUUUUCUGGCAACCAGGCGGAGGAGGAGAUCCAGGCGCUUUGCAGGGAUCAAGAACCCCUGGCUGAAUAAAUUUGGCUUCCACAUGGCUCACCACCACCGUCAUGCUUAUUAGCACCAACAACAUCAACCCUAACUUCAUUAUGAAUUCUGUGUAUUCCUUUUUCUCAACAGACCUCAACAAGGGAAACUAAUUUUCUCUGAGGACUUGGUUAAGAAGAAGAAACACAAAUU
This 478-nucleotide long non-coding RNA is filed under the name Ricinus communis (castor bean). RNAcentral's name for it is "long non-coding RNA (RCOM_LNC003505)". The record is from RNAcentral. Lineage: Eukaryota; Viridiplantae; Streptophyta; Magnoliopsida; Malpighiales; Euphorbiaceae.